RNAcentral lists this ribosomal RNA (429 nucleotides) under Acidobacteriota bacterium. RNAcentral describes it as "Acidobacteria bacterium partial 16S ribosomal RNA". It matches the Rfam family "Bacterial small subunit ribosomal RNA", at positions 355 to 776 of the family's 1533-position model. The record is from RNAcentral. Lineage: Bacteria; Pseudomonadati; Acidobacteriota.
UGGGGAAUUUUGGACAAUGGGGGAAACCCUGAUCCAGCCAUCCCGCGUGUGCGAUGAAGGCCUUCGGGUUGUAAAGCACUUUUGGCAGGAAAGAAACGUCAUGGGUUAAUACCCCGUGAAACUGACGGUACCUGCAGAAUAAGCACCGGCUAACUACGUGCCAGCAGCCGCGGUAAUACGUAGGGUGCAAGCGUUAAUCGGAAUUACUGGGCGUAAAGCGUGCGCAGGCGGUUCGGAAAGAAAGAUGUGAAAUCCCAGAGCUCAACUUUGGAACUGCAUUUUUAACUACCGGGCUAGAGUGUGUCAGAGGGAGGUGGAAUUCCGCGUGUAGCAGUGAAAUGCGUAGAUAAGCGGAGGAACACCGAUGGCGAAGGCAGCCUCCUGGGAUAACACUGACGCUCAUGCACGAAAGCGUGGGGAGCAAACAGG